Molecule: ribosomal RNA, 245 nt
Filed under: uncultured bacterium
Lineage: Bacteria
Description: partial 16S ribosomal RNA
Rfam family: Bacterial small subunit ribosomal RNA
Source: RNAcentral
UACAGAGGUCCCGAGCGUUGUUCGGAUUCACUGGGCGUAAAGGGUGCGUAGGCGGUUUGAUAAGUCUGAUGUGAAAUCCCGCAGCUUAACUGCGGAACGGCAUUGGAAACUAUCUGACUAGAGGAAUGGAGGGGAGACUGGAAUACUUGGUGUAGCAGUGAAAUGCGUAGAUAUCAAGUGGAACACCAGUGGCGAAGGCGAGUCUCUGGACAUUUCCUGACGCUGAGGCACGAAAGCCAGGGGAG